This 518-nucleotide ribosomal RNA is filed under the name Proteus mirabilis. RNAcentral's name for it is "bacterial SSU rRNA". It matches the Rfam family "Bacterial small subunit ribosomal RNA", at positions 795 to 1312 of the family's 1533-position model. The record is from RNAcentral. Lineage: Bacteria; Pseudomonadati; Pseudomonadota; Gammaproteobacteria; Enterobacterales; Morganellaceae.
CCACGCUGUAAACGAUGUCGAUUUAGAGGUUGUGGUCUUGAACCGUAGCUUCUGGAGCUAACGCGUUAAAUCGACCGCCUGGGGAGUACGGCCGCAAGGUUAAAACUCAAAUGAAUUGACGGGGGCCCGCACAAGCGGUGGAGCAUGUGGUUUAAUUCGAUGCAACGCGAAGAACCUUACCUACUCUUGACAUCCAGCGAAUCCUUUAGAGAUAGAGGAGUGCCUUCGGGAACGCUGAGACAGGUGCUGCAUGGCUGUCGUCAGCUCGUGUUGUGAAAUGUUGGGUUAAGUCCCGCAACGAGCGCAACCCUUAUCCUUUGUUGCCAGCACGUAAUGGUGGGAACUCAAAGGAGACUGCCGGUGAUAAACCGGAGGAAGGUGGGGAUGACGUCAAGUCAUCAUGGCCCUUACGAGUAGGGCUACACACGUGCUACAAUGGCAGAUACAAAGAGAAGCGACCUCGCGAGAGCAAGCGGAACUCAUAAAGUCUGUCGUAGUCCGGAUUGGAGUCUGCAACU